Molecule: ribosomal RNA, 119 nt
Organism: Cyprinus carpio (common carp)
Lineage: Eukaryota; Metazoa; Chordata; Actinopteri; Cypriniformes; Cyprinidae
Source: Ensembl
ACUUAUGGCCAUACCACCCUGAGCGCGCCCAAUCUCAUCUGAUCUCUGAAGCUAAGCAGGAUCGGGCCUGGUAAGUACUUGGAUGGGAGACCACCUGGGAAUACCAGGUGCUGUAAGCU